GACGAACGCUGGCUGCGUGCUUAACACAUGCAAGUCGAACGGUAAGGCCCUUCGGGGUACACGAGUUGCGAACGGGUGAGUAACAAGGGGGAGAUCUGCCCUGCACUCCGGGAUAAGCCUGGGUAAAUGGGUCUAAUGCCCGAUAGGACUCCUGGCCUCCUUGUUGGGGGGGGAAAACAUUUGCGGUGUGGGAUGGGCCCCAGGCCUCUCAGCUUUUUGGUGGGGUAAUGGCCGACCAAGGCGACGACGGUUAGCCUGCCUGAGAGGGUGACUGGUCACACUGGGACUGAGAUACGGCCCAGACUCCUACGGGAGGCAGCAGUGGGGAAUAUUGCACAAUGGGCGCAAGCCUGAUGCAGCGACGCCGCGUGAGGGAUGACGGCCUUCGGGUUGUAAACCUCUUUCAGCUAUGACGAAGCGCAAGUGACGGUAGUAGCAGAAGAAGGACCGGCCAACUACGUGCCAGCCGCCGCAGUAA
Molecule: ribosomal RNA, 478 nt
Filed under: uncultured bacterium
Lineage: Bacteria
Description: partial 16S ribosomal RNA
Rfam family: Bacterial small subunit ribosomal RNA
Source: RNAcentral